GUUGAUAGCUAUCCUGACUUGCCUCCCAGGGAUCCGUCAUAACAAAUUCUGAGCUUUUACAGGCUAACUGGCACAUUGCAACACGAUGCUCAGCAGAUAUAAGAUUCUUCUUCUUAUAUGCAUCAUUUACAGGUGACAUGUAACCUCCAAUCACACAAAUUCCUUCUGAAGUCAAUGCAUCUCUUGCCAACUCAAAACAGCGCAAGUGCAUAUAAGUUGGAGGAUUGAAACUUCCUGUUGAUACAAGAACUGCAUAUGUCCUUUUCCUCUUUUCAGGACUUAGUUGCCCCUCCAUUUGUUUUAUUAAAUCCAAAGACAACUUAUCCAACGGUAAAGCAAUGUCGGUCUUACUAGACAUGUUGCUGGUGAAGAGUAUUUUCCACGGAGAUCUGCUUCGGAGGAUAUAAUAACCACGUCGAAUAUGGCCUGCGUGUAAAAUAGGCUGGGAAUUUUCUUGUUGUUCCGCCGGUCGCCGGUCGCCGGUCAGCAGUUGAGACGUGGAGAAGC
Molecule: unclassified non-coding RNA, 507 nt
Filed under: Hevea brasiliensis (rubber tree)
Lineage: Eukaryota; Viridiplantae; Streptophyta; Magnoliopsida; Malpighiales; Euphorbiaceae
Source: RNAcentral